CUUCACCUGUCAGCUUCACCUUCAAUCUCUCCUUUCUAGGGAGAUUCUAUAUAUAAGACUCUGGUCUGGACUCAGGACGUCUUUUCUAUUUGUCUAGGACUUGUUGGUAUUUGCACUCUGAAUAUAUUCUAGCUGGUCUCGACUGCGUUAAGCGAUAUAUGUUUUUUGAGGUAACUUCCACCUUGAAAACAAUCAUAAAAUCAAAAUCAUAAAAUUACCUUUUUAUGAAUUAACUUUUAAAAGUGUGCUAAAAAAUAUAUAUACUUCCACACUUUUGUUGUCAAGUUCUACAGAGAAAUGUUCGUACAUGUUCAUAUCCUACUAACUAGAAUAUUGUGAGUUUCAAAGUUUAAUUUUUUUUUAAAUAUAGAUGAUGAUAUAUAAAAAAUAUAAUGUAAAAAAAUGCUAAAUGGUGAAAAGUCAUUCAUUUUCUGUCCAGCUAAUUCUUUUACAUUUUGUUUUAUUGUUUCUGAGUAAUCAUGCCAAUGAUGCAAAUUCCACAGGGACUGAGGAGAAAGAGAGAGCGGGGGAGAAAACAAGGAGGGAGCUGAGCAAAAGAGGGACGGGGAGGAAAAAGAAAGCUAGGAACAGCAUGUGUUGGAUCUCCCCAGCUGAUAUGUGGUUUCCCCCAAACCUAAGCAUCCUCCUUGAUCCAAAUGUCAGCUUUAAGUCCGUUCAUGCAAGGCGGUACAAAUGGCAGACGCUAUGGGACUACAAAUGACGCGCUUCCGAGGGGAAAAGUCAACCAAGAGUCGGCGGGGUCACCGAAUAAAACGGAGAAUGAGAUGACAGAGAGCAAUCACAACAAGAGAACAAGGAGAGAGAGAGAGAGUGAGAGAGAGAAAGAGAGAGAGAGAGAGAGAAGCGGGAGGCGUAAAGAGGGGGGUGGAACAGAGUGGUGAAGUGCACACACACAGAGAAAACACGAUGCUUCCCUGCGUCACGGUGUGAUGGACGGCACCCACUGACUAAUAAAUCAGAGGCGGCGAAAAAGGCAGGAUGCUGAGAAGGGUAUUCGGAGCGACGCUACCUCGCGCUCUGGGUUGCCGAGAGAGGAGAGACGUGUCGGGAAUGUGGGAGCAGAUGCUCACACACAGAGAAAGAGAGAGAGACGAGCCUGGCCUAAUUUAGCCCGCCUGAUGAAAAAUGGACAGGAAAGUGCUUACUUGGCUCGCCCUUCCCUCCACUCCACCGCUUCUCCUCCUCAUUUCCUCCUCCUGCUCGCCCCAACCUUUUGCCUACCCCCUUUAUACCCUCCAUGCCCUUUCCACUCCGUCUGUCUCUCCUUGAUUCCCACUCUUUGAUCUCUGUUGUCUCCCUGCAACCCACCUCCCUCGCACAAAAACAAACAUCCCUGCACUGUCUUGAGCCAGACAUCCUUUCCCCCCACAUAAACUGGUAUUCAUAAAAAGCAGCUGAGAGUGAGCAGAUACUGCAGAGAUGGAAAAAUAAGAGGCACAAAUGAAUGAUAAAACCUUUUUUAUGUUUAGAUUGUUAGCCAAUUUCCACUACUCAAGUACUGGUGAGUGGCCAUUUUUUCAUUUACAUUUCAGAGGUAACUAUUAUACUUCGGUUUAUCCUUUUAUAGGUUAUUUUUCAGAUUAAGAUUUAACAUAAGUGCAUGAGAUGAGCUUAUAAAAUACCAACUUUUAAAGAAUCCAAACUAUUUUGACUUUUUUGAGACAUUUCCCCUCUAAACCACUCAGAUUGUUUGAUACCCCAGUAGGUCAAAUGAUCCAAGAUUUUGCAGGAAAUCCCAAAAACAUUUUUUUUCUAGCAGAACCUUUUCCAACUUCACAACCCCUUUAAUCAUCUCUGAAAUCUGAAUCAAAUCUGAAUGAGCCUGGAUAAAUACUGCAUCAGAAAGGAUCCCUACCCUUUGCUGAUAUUACUUCUGUACAUUUACUAUAAUUGAAUGUACGUCUCCUACUUUAAAUGCAGUUUAUUUUAUUGUAUUGGUACUUUUUAAUUAUGUAAGGCUCUGAAACCUUCUUCCACUAUUGCCAAUUCCAGAGAUCCAUGUUUAAUAUUCAGUAUAUCAACACUGAAGGUAUCAACCUUUUCUCAUAUAUUUAUGUUGCUUCCUUUCUUAUACUCUAACCUUUAUUGUAUGUGCUUUGCAAAGUCAAGUAUAAACUUUCGGACAUGAUUUGAUGACUUUUCGUGAUAAUGAGUAUGAGAUCAUUUUCCAAUCAUGGUGACCGCUCCAUGUGAUGAAUUAGUCAUAAGACAGGUGGUCAGGUGUAAGGGGCUGGAUGCCCAGGCACGUUUUCCAACCUAUAUGCUGUCACACCAUUUCAUCUCCUGUUCCAGCCUUUCUCCGCCUCUUAGUAGACAUGCCUUCCUGUCAAGUUGUUAAUCUAAUUACUGCUAAUCCAUCUCUAUGAUCUCUCAUCUAACUGUUAGCUCAGCCGCCCCAGUGGCCGAUGCACCACCGUUCAUGCCAAUCACAACCAAAUUCCUUCCCUGCAGAGACAUCGCUAUAUAUCCUGGUAUAUGUACCCAGACACUCUCUAAAUACAGAUUGCACAUCAGUAUAUUUUAAUAAAAAUUACAACAAACCUGGGAAGCUUCCUCUUCCUUUCUUUAUUAAAAGCAAAAGUAAUGGCAGGACUCUUAUUUCUUGAACUAAUUUGAAUUUUAAAAUAAGUUUCAUAAAAAAAUAAUCAAAAGCAGACUUCCCUUGGAAUUCAAAGGCAGCCUGGGCCAUGUUUCAGAAAUCAAAUUUAAAAUAUUUAUUUUGAAUCAAUUUUGUGCCCUUUAAGGAUAGAAAUGCAAUAUUUUGAUUUUGAGGAAUAUGUAACUGAAAAAAAAAAAAUACUUUUUUAAAAAAUGGUUUUGAAGCCAAAUAAGAAAGCGCUACAAUUCCCUGAUUAUGUUUUACAAAGUUUCCAUCCAUACAGUUGAUGGUGAAUAAGAAUAGUUUGCGUUUUUCGUGGCCACCAUAGUUUCUCCUACACGCUUGGAAGGCUGAGC
Dicentrarchus labrax (European seabass) is the source of this 2976-nucleotide long non-coding RNA. Lineage: Eukaryota; Metazoa; Chordata; Actinopteri; Moronidae. The record is from Ensembl.